RNAcentral lists this long non-coding RNA (1010 nucleotides) under Piliocolobus tephrosceles (Ugandan red Colobus). Its description in RNAcentral is "lncRNA (ENSPTEG00000010460.1)". The record is from RNAcentral. Lineage: Eukaryota; Metazoa; Chordata; Mammalia; Primates; Cercopithecidae.
AUGCUAAAUGAUCUUUGUUCAUUCGUUAGUAAAGAAUUGAGAGAUUUUACAGCAUUAUUUUUUAUUUCUACAGAACCUAUGUUAUUUUCAUUUUUUAAUUCUUUAGUUUCAUCUUUUAUAACACUUUUUACUUCGUUAAAUGUUUCUAAAUUGUUUUUUUGGGGGCUUUCAAUAUAUUUUGAACUAGAUCUAUCUAAGUUCACGUUAUCUUUUAUACAUCCACUAAAUGGGUCUUCAUGUACAAAUGUGUCAUCAUGUUGUAGUUCGGCAUGGUGCUGUAGUUUGCCAUCUUGUAUUAAUUCGUCAUCCUUUACUAAUUCGUCAUCUUUUACUAAUUCGCCAUCUUUUACUAAUUCGCCAUCUUNUACUGGUGCCCUAUCAUGCAUCGUAGUAUUAUUAUAUUUAGGAAUAAGCUUAUCUGCAUCCAUAUUAAUCCCUCUUUGUUUUAUCAACUUUUUAAUUUUUCUUUCUUCUUUCAAUUUAAUUUUUUCAAAUACUUUUAGCUCUUUUAACUUCAUUUCUUUUAAUUUUUGUUUUUUUUCUUCUUCUAUUUCUUUUAUUUUAUCACUAUCAUCAAAAGCGCUUACAACACUAGCACUAUCACUUGUAAUAAUAUCGCUUUUAUUAACAUUUUUUUCUUGUUUCUUAUAAGAUUUAUUAUUAAAACUUUCAAAUAUUUCCAUGAACUCAUUGUUUUUCUCUUUAUGUUUUUUGUCAUUUUUUUUAAGUUUUUUUUUUAUUUCUUUUUCAAAAAGAAAUUCCUCACUACUUGUACCGGACAUACUACUAAAAGAAUUUGAUAGCACAGGUAUAAGAGCAGAAGUAGAAUUCAUAGAGUUAUCAUAAACAUCUCCCAUUCCAUAUAAAUAUUUUAACCAAUUUGGUAAAGAAUAAUUUUUAGUAUAUUUAACAUCAGCUUCUAGUAAUAGAUCAUUAAUUAUACUACUAAAACAGUUCAUAAAAGAAGUUUUAUCAAUUGUUAAUAAAAAACAAUUUGUGUAAGCUUUACA